GCCGCUGUGGCGAAAUGGCAGACGCAGGGGACUUAAAAUCCCCAGAUCGCAAGAUCGUGCGGGUUCAAGUCCCGCCAGCGGCACCA
This 86-nucleotide transfer RNA is filed under the name Verrucomicrobiota bacterium. Its description in RNAcentral is "Verrucomicrobia bacterium (activated sludge metagenome) tRNA-Leu". It matches the Rfam family "tRNA". From Rfam's summary of the family: Transfer RNA (tRNA) molecules are approximately 80 nucleotides in length. Lineage: Bacteria; Pseudomonadati; Verrucomicrobiota. The record is from RNAcentral.